Molecule: ribosomal RNA, 460 nt
Filed under: uncultured bacterium
Lineage: Bacteria
Description: partial 16S ribosomal RNA
Rfam family: Bacterial small subunit ribosomal RNA
Source: RNAcentral
CCUACGGGUGGCAGCAGUGAGGAAUAUUGGACAAUGGGCGCGAGCCUGAACCAGCCAAGCAGCGUGAAGGAUGACUGCCCUACGGUUUGUAAGCUCCUUUUAUAAAGGAAUAAAGUGAGGCUCGUGUGCCUUUUUUUAUGUACUUUAUGUAUAAGGAUCGGCGAACUACGUGCCAGCAGCUGCGGUAAUGUGGUGGAAUCGAGCGUUACCCGGUUUUAUUGGGUGUAACGGGAGCGUAGAUGGGUUAUUAAGUUAGAUGUGAAAGUUUGCGGCUCAACCGUAAAAUUGCAAUUGAUACUGGCAGUCUUGAGUACAGUAGAGGUAGGUGGAAGUCGAUGUGUAGCGGUGAAAUGCUUAGAUAUCACGAAGAACACCGAUUGCGAAGGCAGCUUACUAAGCUGCCACUGACAUUGAUGCUCGAAAGUGUGGGUAGCAAACAGGAUUAGAUACCCUAGUAGUC